UUUGUUUUAAUACUGAUGAUUUUGGCAUACAGCUCAUGAAAACCCAAAAUUCCUAUCUCAAAAAAUUUGCAUAUCAUGAAAAGGUUCUUUAAACGAGCUAUUAACCUAAUCAUCUGAAUCAACUAAUUAACUCUAAACACCUGCAAAAGAUUCCCGAGGCUUUUAAAAACUCCCAGCCUGGUUCAUUACUCAAAACCGCAAUCAUGGGUAAGACUGCCGACCUGACUGCUGUCCAGAAGGCCAUCAUUGACACCCUCAAGCGAGAGGGUAAGACACAAAAGAAAUUUCUGAACGAAUAGGCUGUUCCCAGAGUGCUGUAUCAAGGCACCUCAUUGGGAAGUCUGUGGGAAGGAAAAAGUGUGGCAAAAAACGCUGCACAACAAGAAGAGGUGACCGGACCCUGAGGAAGAUUGUGGAGAAGGACCGAUUCCAGACCUUGGGGGACCUGCGGAAGCAGUGGACUGAGUCUGGAGUAGAAACAUCCAGAGCCACCGUGCACAGGCAUGUGCAGGAAAUGGGCUACAGAGAAGCAGCACUGGACUGUUGCUCAGUGGUCCAAAGUACUUUUUUCGGAUGAAAGCAAAUUUUGCAUGUCAUUCGGAAAUCAAGGUGCCAGAGUCUGGAGGAAGACUGGGGAGAAGGAAAUGCCAAAAUGCCUGAAGUCCAGUGUCAAGUACCCACAGUCAGUGAUGGUCUGGGGUGCCAUGUCAGCUGCUGGUGUUGGUCCACUGUGUUUUAUCAAGGGCAGGGUCAAUGCAGCUAGCUAUCAGGAGAUUUUGGAGCACUUCAUGCUUCCAUCUGCUGAAAAACUUUAUGGAGAUGAAGAUUUCGUUUUUCAGCACGACAUGGCACCUGCUCACAGUGCCAAAACCACUGGUAAAUGGUUUACUGACCAUGGUAUUACUGUGCUCAAUUGGCCUACCAACUCUCCUGACCUGAACCCCAUGGAGAAUCUGUGGGAUAUGCCAAGACGCAAGACCCAACACUCUGGAUGAGCUUAAGGCCGCUAUCGAAGCAUCCUGGGCCUCCAUAACACCUCAGCAGUGCCACAGGCUGAUUGCCUCCAUGCCACGCCGCAUUGAAGCAGUCAUUUCUGCAAAAGGAUUCCCGACCAAGUAUUGAGUGCAUAACUGAACAUAAUUAUUUGAAGGUUGCCUUUUUUUGUAUUAAAAACACU
Long non-coding RNA from Carassius carassius (crucian carp), 1177 nucleotides. RefSeq lists it as uncharacterized. The transcript has 3 exons. Lineage: Eukaryota; Metazoa; Chordata; Actinopteri; Cypriniformes; Cyprinidae. The record is from RefSeq and is a predicted model, not a curated record.